Long non-coding RNA from Triticum aestivum (bread wheat), 391 nucleotides. RefSeq lists it as uncharacterized. The transcript has 3 exons. The record is from RefSeq and is a predicted model, not a curated record. NCBI's taxonomy places the organism in Eukaryota, Viridiplantae, Streptophyta, Magnoliopsida, Poales, Poaceae.
GCAACAACAAACAGACUUUGCUGUUUUCAGUCUAUUGAGAUAUUUGUUGGGCAUCACCGAGGAACGCCAGCAAAGGCGUGAAGAAAUACUCGCAAUCAGUGUGACAUGUCGUGUGAGAUGAAGGUGGCAAACCAUCCAAACUUGAAGCCAAGCAUGUGGUGGAUCCGCCAUGGAUGAUGGAUGGACCGAAGGAAGAUUGAACCGCCUUUUGGUUUAGGUAGAAGCACCCAUUGAUGUUUUCCAGUUCUUUGUAUUCAUUCUAUUAUGUGCUAUAAUAGUUAAUUGCAUAUAUAUGUACUAUGUUUGGAUAUUCUCACGCAACAUCUAUGUACAACAGAUGCAGAUUUUCAGAAUAUUUAACCAAAAACCUUUGCCUGCACUGUUCAGAAUA